Molecule: ribosomal RNA, 1385 nt
Filed under: Microbacterium laevaniformans
Lineage: Bacteria; Bacillati; Actinomycetota; Actinomycetes; Micrococcales; Microbacteriaceae
Description: bacterial SSU rRNA
Rfam family: Bacterial small subunit ribosomal RNA
Source: RNAcentral
ACACAUGCAGUCGACGGUGAAGCCCAGCUUGCUGGGUGGAUCAGUGGCGAACGGGUGAGUAACACGUGAGCAAUCUGCCCCUGACUCUGGGAUAAGCGCUGGAAACGGCGUCUAAUACUGGAUAUGAACCGUGGAGGCAUCUUCAACGGUUGGAAAGAUUUUUUGGUCAGGGAUGAGCUCGCGGCCUAUCAGCUUGUUGGUGAGGUAAUGGCUCACCAAGGCGUCGACGGGUAGCCGGCCUGAGAGGGUGACCGGCCACACUGGGACUGAGACACGGCCCAGACUCCUACGGGAGGCAGCAGUGGGGAAUAUUGCACAAUGGGCGCAAGCCUGAUGCAGCAACGCCGCGUGAGGGAUGACGGCCUUCGGGUUGUAAACCUCUUUUAGCAGGGAAGAAGCGAAAGUGACGGUACCUGCAGAAAAAGCGCCGGCUAACUACGUGCCAGCAGCCGCGGUAAUACGUAGGGCGCAAGCGUUAUCCGGAAUUAUUGGGCGUAAAGAGCUCGUAGGCGGUUUGUCGCGUCUGCUGUGAAAUCCCGAGGCUCAACCUCGGGUCUGCAGUGGGUACGGGCAGACUAGAGUGCGGUAGGGGAGAUUGGAAUUCCUGGUGUAGCGGUGGAAUGCGCAGAUAUCAGGAGGAACACCGAUGGCGAAGGCAGAUCUCUGGGCCGUAACUGACGCUGAGGAGCGAAAGGGUGGGGAGCAAACAGGCUUAGAUACCCUGGUAGUCCACCCCGUAAACGUUGGGAACUAGUUGUGGGGUCCAUUCCACGGAUUCCGUGACGCAGCUAACGCAUUAAGUUCCCCGCCUGGGGGAGUACGGCCGCAAGGCUAAAACUCAAAGGAAUUGACGGGGACCCGCACAAGCGGCGGAGCAUGCGGAUUAAUUCGAUGCAACGCGAAGAACCUUACCAAGGCUUGACAUAUACGAGAACGCUGCAGAAAUGUAGAACUCUUUGGACACUCGUAAACAGGUGGUGCAUGGUUGUCGUCAGCUCGUGUCGUGAGAUGUUGGGUUAAGUCCCGCAACGAGCGCAACCCUCGUUCUAUGUUGCCAGCACGUAAUGGUGGGAACUCAUGGGAUACUGCCGGGGUCAACUCGGAGGAAGGUGGGGAUGACGUCAAAUCAUCAUGCCCCUUAUGUCUUGGGCUUCACGCAUGCUACAAUGGCCGGUACAAAGGGCUGCAAUACCGUAAGGUGGAGCGAAUCCCAAAAAGCCGGUCCCAGUUCGGAUUGAGGUCUGCAACUCGACCUCAUGAAGUCGGAGUCGCUAGUAAUCGCAGAUCAGCAACGCUGCGGUGAAUACGUUCCCGGGUCUUGUACACACCGCCCGUCAAGUCAUGAAAGUCGGUAACACCUGAAGCCGGUGGCCCAACCCUUGUGG